RNAcentral lists this ribosomal RNA (510 nucleotides) under uncultured bacterium. Its description in RNAcentral is "partial 16S ribosomal RNA". It matches the Rfam family "Bacterial small subunit ribosomal RNA", at positions 28 to 507 of the family's 1533-position model. The record is from RNAcentral.
GACGAACGCUGGCGGCGUGCUUAACACAUGCAAGUCGAACGAAGGGCGAUGGAAGCUUGCUUCUAUCAAUCUUAGUGGCGAACGGGUGAGUAACGCGUAAUCAACCUGUCCUUCAGAGGGGGACAACAGUUGGAAACGACUGCUAAUACCGCAUACGAUCUAAUCUCGGCAUCGAGGAUAGAUGAAAGGUGGCCUCUACAUGUAAGCUAUCACUGAAGGAGGGGAUUGCGUCUGAUUAGCUAGUUGGAGGGGUAACGGCCCACCAAGGCGAUGAUCAGUAGCCGGUCUGAGAGGAUGAACGGCCACAUUGGGACUGAGACACGGCCCAGACUCCUACGGGAGGCAGCAGUGGGGAAUCUUCCGCAAUGGACGAAAGUCUGACGGAGCAACGCCGCGUGAGUGAUGACGGCCUUCGGGUUGUAAAGCUCUGUUAAUCGGGACGAAAGGCCUUCUUGCGAAUAGUGAGAAGGAUUGACGGUACCGGAAUAGAAAGCCACGGCUAACUACGUG